AUGCACGCUGGCGGCGUGCCUAAUACAUGCAAGUCGCGCGAACAGACGAGGAGCUUGCUCCUCUGACGUUAGCGGCGGACGGGUGAGUAACACGUGGAUAACCUAUCUAUAAGACUGGGAUAACUUCGGGAAACCGGAGCUAAUACCGGAUAAUAUAUUGAACCGCAUGGUUCAAUAGUGAAAGACGGUUUUGCUGUCACUUAUAGAUGGAUCCGCGCCGCAUUAGCUAGUUGGUAAGGUAACGGCUUACCAAGGCAACGAUGCGUAGCCGACCUGAGAGGGUGAUCGGCCACACUGGAACUGAGACACGGUCCAGACUCCUACGGGAGGCAGCAGUAGGGAAUCUUCCGCAAUGGGCGAAAGCCUGACGGAGCAACGCCGCGUGAGUGAUGAAGGUCUUCGGAUCGUAAAACUCUGUUAUUAGGGAAGAACAAAUGUGUAAGUAACUAUGCACGUCUUGACGGUACCUAAUCAGAAAGCCACGGCUAACUACGUG
This 496-nucleotide ribosomal RNA is filed under the name uncultured bacterium. Its description in RNAcentral is "partial 16S ribosomal RNA". It matches the Rfam family "Bacterial small subunit ribosomal RNA", at positions 29 to 507 of the family's 1533-position model. The record is from RNAcentral.